GGCCGCCUGGCGUAAUGGUUAACGCGUCUGACUUCUAAUCAGAAGACUGCGGGUUCGAAUCCCGCGGUGGCUU
Transfer RNA from Fusarium verticillioides 7600, 73 nucleotides. It matches the Rfam family "tRNA". From Rfam's summary of the family: Transfer RNA (tRNA) molecules are approximately 80 nucleotides in length. Their secondary structure includes four short double-helical elements and three loops (D, anti-codon, and T loops). NCBI's taxonomy places the organism in Eukaryota, Fungi, Ascomycota, Sordariomycetes, Hypocreales, Nectriaceae. The record is from Rfam.